AGUUGGCUCAGUUGGAAUAGCUCCAGUCUGUUGACCGGUUGGUCAGGGGUUCCAA
Molecule: transfer RNA, 55 nt
Filed under: uncultured Symbiodinium
Lineage: Eukaryota; Dinophyceae; Suessiales; Symbiodiniaceae
Description: partial tRNA
Source: RNAcentral